GACGAACGCUGGCGGCGUGCUUAACACAUGCAAGUCGAACGGAAAGGCCCUGCUUUUGUGGGGUGCUCGAGUGGCGAACGGGUGAGUAACACGUGAGUAACCUGCCCUUGACUUUGGGAUAACUUCAGGAAACUGGGGCUAAUACCGGAUAGGAGCUCCUGCUGCAUGGUGGGGGUUGGAAAGUUUCGGCGGUUGGGGAUGGACUCGCGGCUUAUCAGCUUGUUGGUGGGGUAGUGGCUUACCAAGGCUUUGACGGGUAGCCGGCCUGAGAGGGUGACCGGCCACAUUGGGACUGAGAUACGGCCCAGACUCCUACGGGAGGCAGCAGUGGGGAAUAUUGCACAAUGGGCGGAAGCCUGAUGCAGCAACGCCGCGUGCGGGAUGACGGCCUUCGGGUUGUAAACCGCUUUCGCCUGUGACGAAGCGUGAGUGACGGUAAUGGGUAAAGAAGCACCGGCUAACUACGUGCCAGCAGCCGCGGUGAUACGUAGGGUGCGAGCGUUGUCCGGAUUUAUUGGGCGUAAAGGGCUCGUAGGUGGUUGAUCGCGUCGGAAGUGUAAUCUUGGGGCUUAACCCUGAGCGUGCUUUCGAUACGGGUUGACUUGAGGAAGGUAGGGGAGAAUGGAAUUCCUGGUGGAGCGGUGGAAUGCGCAGAUAUCAGGAGGAACACCAGUGGCGAAGGCGGUUCUCUGGGCCUUUCCUGACGCUGAGGAGCGAAAGCGUGGGGAGCGAACAGGCUUAGAUACCCUGGUAGUCCACGCUGUAAACGGUGGGUACUAGGUGUGGGGUCCAUUCCACGGGUUCCGUGCCGUAGCUAACGCUUUAAGUACCCCGCCUGGGGAGUACGGCCGCAAGGCUAAAACUCAAAGGAAUUGACGGGGCCCCGCACAAGCGGCGGAGCAUGCGGAUUAAUUCGAUGCAACGCGUAGAACCUUACCUGGGUUUGACAUGGAUCGGGAGUGCUCAGAGAUGGGUGUGCCUCUUUUGGGGUCGGUUCACAGGUGGUGCAUGGCUGUCGUCAGCUCAUGUCGUGAGAUGUUGGGUUAAGUCCCGCAACGAGCGCAACCCUUGUUCACUGUUGCCAGCACGUUAUGGUGGGGACUCAGUGGAGACCGCCGGGGUCAACUCGGAGGAAGGUGGGGAUGACGUCAAGUCAUCAUGCCCCUUAUGUCCAGGGCUUCACGCAUGCUACAAUGGCUGGUACAGAGAGUGGCGAGCCUGUGAGGGUGAGCGAAUCUCGGAAAGCCGGUCUCAGUUCGGAUUGGGGUCUGCAACUCGACCUCAUGAAGUCGGAGUCGCUAGUAAUCGCAGAUCAGCAACGCUGCGGUGAAUACGUUCCCGGG
This 1343-nucleotide ribosomal RNA is filed under the name uncultured bacterium. RNAcentral describes it as "16S ribosomal RNA". It matches the Rfam family "Bacterial small subunit ribosomal RNA", at positions 28 to 1378 of the family's 1533-position model. The record is from RNAcentral.